AGCAGUAGCCGCGGUAAUACGUAGGUCCCGAGCGUUGUCCGGAUUUAUUGGGCGUAAAGCGAGCGCAGGCGGUUAGAUAAGUCUGAAGUUAAAGGCUGUGGCUUAACCAUAGUACGCUUUGGAAACUGUUUAACUUGAGUGCAAGAGGGGAGAGUGGAAUUCCAUGUGUAGCGGUGAAAUGCGUAGAUAUAUGGAGGAACACCGGUGGCGAAAGCGGCUCUCUGGUCUGUAACUGACGCUGAGGAGCGAAAGCGUGGGGAGCGAACAGGAUUAGAUACCCCCGUAGUCCCUGUCUCUUAUACA
RNAcentral lists this ribosomal RNA (303 nucleotides) under uncultured bacterium. RNAcentral describes it as "partial 16S ribosomal RNA". It matches the Rfam family "Bacterial small subunit ribosomal RNA", at positions 507 to 808 of the family's 1533-position model. The record is from RNAcentral.